AUUUUGCUUAACCAUUUUCCAAGGAACAUUAUUACUAUAAGCAAGAUGUAAGCAUGCCUAAAGAAAUAAGAAUAAUAGCAAAGAAUUUAUUCGUGGGCAUUAAAGGUCGGAUUGGCGUGUUUUAAGACCAAAUUGAGUGUUCUGGUCGCAGUUGGCGGAAGGCAGACCAAGUAAUGUUGGGCUAGAGGCAGCUGGCCAACGCAAGUACACCAUAGGGACAUCAGCGACACUACAAGCCUCAGCCAAGCCUAAUAAUCACUUGUCUCGCGCCAUCGUUCGAGGAUUACUACUGCUGUAAGUGCUACAAAGCGUUUGGAAGCAGUGCGUGAUAACCAACGUUUCAAAUCGGCAUUUUAAGAUCAAGUGCUCGAGUCAGUCCCUAAGAUAGCCUAAAGGUUUCAUUGAAAUUGUUAGCUGUAUUGGCUGCACUUCCGAACACUUCGAACUCU
Molecule: long non-coding RNA, 449 nt
Organism: Penaeus monodon (black tiger shrimp)
Lineage: Eukaryota; Metazoa; Arthropoda; Malacostraca; Decapoda; Penaeidae
Exons: 3
Source: RefSeq, a predicted model, not a curated record